AAGCGGGGACAGGGGCCGAGCUGAGUGCCUGUAAAAAGGCCACUUCAAGCCCCAUUGUGGGGACAGCAGCAGGUGGGCAUGUCUGCGCUUUGAAUGCCUCUUCCCGAGAUGCCCUGCGCUAAUGGAUGUGCAUUAACAGCGUCCCUUCCUCGGUCCCCGCUGGAGAACUCUGAAUUCCUGAGGAAGGGCAGCCGUCAAUGCCUGAGGCUCCCACAAAGGGCCCAUUGUGGUCACCGCUGAGUCAGACUGGUGACGGUUGGCACCUGAGCUCAGUCAGUCUGGAGUAAGUGGUUGGCAGGGACGUCAUCCGGGAGAGCGGGUUUGAGUGUAACGGCCAGGACAUCUUCAGCAAAGACCUCGCCUCCAGGAAGUCCAUUCUGACUGCCCAGAAACAGACCCUCGUUUUGAAAAGAGGGUUUGGGGCUAAGGUAAGCUUGGGAAAGGGCACAGGAAGCUCUGCAGCGGAAAACGCCCACGCUCCGCGCAAUGGAACAAGAAGAGCGGGACGUUCUAACGCAGGCGUCCUGCGUCACUGCAUCACACCAUCGUGAUGAAAUGAAUGAUACAGAGGCCGUGACCCGGGCUGGCUGGUCAGCCACAGGAUGGGUUUGCCAGCAGGCCUGGUACUUAGGAAGAGAUCCACCUUGCCCCCCUGGCCCUAGCUUUCUCUGGGACUGAGAAUGGGCAGGAAGAGCGGUUGGCCAGCCCCUGUGAGGAGUCUUGAGGAGGUACAAAGGAGACCAGAGAGGCCGGUGGACAGGUGUCUAGCUCCUUGGCUCAAAGUUCAGAGGGCUUUGUUGUGUCCAUUGGUGCGUUCUGUUUCCCUUUCUUUCCUUCCUUCCUUCCAGAGAGGGUCUCAUGUAGGCCAAGGUGACCUUGAAUUCACUAUAUAGUUGAAGAAGAUGACCUUGAACUCUGAAGUCCUCCAGUUCCCAUCCCAAGAGUGCUAGAGUUUCAGGUGUGCACCACCUCACAUGGUUUUAUGCAGUGCCGAGGACUGAACCCGGGACCCUGUGAGUGCGAGGCAAGAAGUGCCAGCCGGACCGUACGCCCAGUCGUUUCUGUUUUUUCUCCCUAUUCCCCCUUCUUCUCUUUCGGUAAGGCCUUGCUAUGUAGCCCAGGCUGGCCUUGAACUCAUAGCAACCCUCCUGCCCCAGCCUCUCAAGUGCUGGGGUUAGAGGCAUGAACCACCACAUUCAGCUGUUAUCAUUUCUUCACAGAGUUCCAUUCUAGACCUGAUUUUAAUCCAUGGAACAUCUUGCCUGGAAGGGACCAAGGGCCAUGGAAUCCUGUCACUGUUUAGAUAACAGGGGGUACAAGGCACGGCAAGAGCCCAGGUUACCCCAUCCCUCACUGCUUCUCCCUUCAACACUCUGACUCCACUUUGGCCCCAGGGGGCUGAAAGCCAAUGGGGGGUGGGGGUCCCGAAGAGGCCUUGCCUUGGCUGUGGGCCUCUGGCCUGGACCCUUCUGCUCUCUGGGACAUGCAAUCCUUGCAGGCUGUGGUGGGCUCCUGCGCUAACACAUGCAUUAGUGGAUGAAAGCCGUCUCCAGGGGCUCUUCACCAGGGCCCUUUGGCUGUAAUAAAGCAAAUUAAAACCCCAUUCAAAGGUCAAUUGAAAUCUCUUUCAUGCCACGUUUCCACACAAAUUGAUUCCUCUUUGCCCUUGGGGUCGCAGUGAAUGCCAUAAAGGGGCCCAGCUGUAGCUAGAUGGGAACAACUUGAAAAAUUGCCUCCCCUGGGGCUUUGGCAGGGAUGAGGGGGCAGUGGACCCUCCCCUUUCCCAGGACCAUCUGGGGCACCAAGGGCCCUCUUCUCCAGUUUGCUCCUGGCUUUGGAACCCAUCCAUGGAGCUCAAAUCCACACUUCUUCCUCCAUUCCAGCAGGCUGCCGUCAGAGGAGUCAGGAUUCCCUUUAACUAAACUGCCCAGCCUGACCUCAACCUUGAGAGGCCCUUGCCUCAGUAUCCCGAGUGCCUGGAUGACAGACGUGAAUUGUGUGUCCAGCAGACGGACCCAGUGUUUGCACUGACAAUCUCUGUUUUAUUUCUCUGUAUAGCCCUGGCUGUCCUGAAACUCUCUCUGGGGACCUCAAGAGAUCUACCUGCCUCUGCUUCCCAAGUGCUGCCAUUAAAGGUGUGUGCUGACAAUCUUAAUAGCAACUGGAAUGUUCCCGAUCUGCUUGAACCCUGGCCAGCACCAUGAGAAUGAUGCAUCGUCUUGAGGCCCCGCCUCUGCGUCACUUUCAAAUCUGACCUCCGCCCUGGCUUCUACGCUUGUGACUCCCUGACAACCUUGGCUUAUCUGUCCCCUAAUGACCCUGCAGCAAUGGCCAGAGGCACCAUUCAAGGAGGCUUUCGGGAUCUUGUCUCUGGCUUGGACCCAGUGUGGCUCUUUUCUGCACUUGGCAUUUGUAAGGGAGGAGGAAUCUUUACGAUUGACUUUGACAGGUUCAUUUGAGACAGAUCCUUGUAAAUGACUAGGAGGAGAGAAAGGUCCUUCUCAGGUGUCGCGGAUAGGAGUGUGUUUACUUCAGAUUAUUCAUUACACCUGGCCGUUACUUGUUUGUAUGCCUCUGUGGGAAAGCAUGCUUUGCCACAUGCGUCUCACCUGCUCCCUGGGGCUCGCCUGCCCCGUGCAGUUUGCCCAUCACACAUGCGGCUUGUCCUUGUGGUUGGACACUUUUUUCAGGCGACUCCUCUUAACCCUCAGAUCAUAAACUGUCUGAUGCUCUGAAUAAAGUUGGCUAUUGCAUGA
Molecule: non-coding RNA, 2756 nt
Organism: Peromyscus maniculatus bairdii (prairie deer mouse)
Lineage: Eukaryota; Metazoa; Chordata; Mammalia; Rodentia; Cricetidae
Source: RefSeq, a predicted model, not a curated record